UAAAUGGUCGCAAAGAAUUUAAAGGAUAAUAAUAUUUUGUGACAUCUAUUUGUAUCCAUAAAUAACAUUUUAUUGGAACCCAGCCACACUCAUUUGCUAGGUAUUGAGUAUAGCUGCUUCCAUGGUACAUGGUAAAGUUGAGUAAUUGCAACAGAGACCAAAUGGCUCGAUAGCCCUAAAAUGCUCUCUGCCCUUAACAAAAAAAAUAUUGGAAACUAACCAGUCUUAUACAUAUUUUAAAAAAGUUUGCCCGCCCCUGAUCUAGACUGAAACUUGGGACCAUUUUAUCAAGUAAAUACCAGAUGAAUUGCCUGUUUAAUCCCCGGCUCUGAAUUCAUGACCUCUUUUCCCUUAUUUGUAGAUUGGCAAACUAAUUGAGUUGCAAGGCAUCUAGAAUAGCCAAAACAACCUUGAAAAAGAAAAAGGAGGAGGAUUCACACUUUUUCUGACUUCAUAUAGAUCAAAGGAAUAGAAUUGGAAGUCCAGAAAUAAAACCAUGUGUCAAUGGUCAAAUGAUUUUCCACUAGGGUGCCAAGAUUAUUCAGUGGGGGAAAGAAGAGUCUUUUUAACAAAUGAUGCUGAGCUAACUGUAUAUCUACUUAGAAAAGAAUACAGUUUGACCCUACCUUAUACCAUAUAUAAAAUAUGAACUAAAAAUAUAUCAAAAAUCUAAAUGUAAGAGCUAAAACUAUAAAACUAUUAGAAGAAAACAAAGGGGUAAAUCUUCAUAAUCUUAGAUUUGGCAGAAAAGAUUUUUCUUAUUGCACCAAAAACAUGAGCAACAACAACAACAAAAAGAUAAAUUAGACUUCAUCCAAAUUAAAAAACUUUUGUACAGGAUAUUACCAAGAAAGUGAAAAGGCCAGGCAUGGUGGCUCAUGCCCGUAAUCCCAGCAGUUUGGGAGGCUGAAGUGGGUGGAUUGCUUGAAUCCAGCUUGGGCAACGUGGUGAAACCCUGUCUCUAC
RNAcentral lists this long non-coding RNA (965 nucleotides) under Homo sapiens (human). RNAcentral describes it as "non-protein coding lnc-SNRPB-1:1". The record is from RNAcentral. Lineage: Eukaryota; Metazoa; Chordata; Mammalia; Primates; Hominidae.